RNAcentral lists this ribosomal RNA (449 nucleotides) under uncultured bacterium. Its description in RNAcentral is "partial 16S ribosomal RNA". It matches the Rfam family "Bacterial small subunit ribosomal RNA", at positions 29 to 523 of the family's 1533-position model. The record is from RNAcentral.
AACGAACGCUGGCGGCAUGCCUAACACAUGCAAGUCGAACGAAGCCUUGGGGCUUAGUGGCGCACGGGUGCGUAACGCGUGGGAAUCUGCCCUUGGGUUCGGAAUAACAGUUAGAAAUGACUGCUAAUACCGGAUGAUGUCUUCGGACCAAAGAUUUAUCGCCCAAGGAUGAGCCCGCGUAGGAUUAGGUAGUUGGUGGGGUAAUGGCCCACCAAGCCGACGAUCCUUAGCUGGUCUGAGAGGAUGAUCAGCCACACUGGGACUGAGACACGGCCCAGACUCCUCCGGGAGGCAGCAGUGGGGAAUAUUGGACAAUGGGCGAAAGCCUGAUCCAGCAAUGCCGCGUGAGUGAUGAAGGCCUUAGGGUUGUAAAGCUCUUUUACCAGGGAUGAUAAUGACAGUACCUGGAGAAUAAGCUCCGGCUAACUCCGUGCCAGCCGCCGCGGUAA